AGACCCGAAACCCGGUGAUCUAGCCAUGGGCAGGUUGAAGGUUGGGUAACACUAACUGGAGGACCGAACCGACUAAUGUUGAAAAAUUAGCGGAUGACCUGUGGCUGGGGGUGAAAGGCCAAUCAAACCGGGAGAUAGCUGGUUCUCCCCGAAAGCUAUUUAGGUAGCGCCUCGUGAAUUCAUCUCCGGGGGUAGAGCACUGUUUCGGCUAGGGGGCCAUCCCGGCUUACCAACCCGAUGCAAACUGCGAAUACCGGAGAAUGUUAUCACGGGAGACACACGGCGGGUGCUAACGUCCGUCGUGAAGAGGGAAACAACCCAGACCGCCAGCUAAGGUCCCAAAGUCAUGGUUAAGUGGGAAACGAUGUGGGAAGGCCCAGACAGCCAGGAUGUUGGCUUAGAAGCAGCCAUCAUUUAAAGAAAGCGUAAUAGCUCACUGGUCGAGUCGGCCUGCGCGGAAGAUGUAACGGGGCUAAACCAUGCACCGAAGCUGCGGCAGCGACACUGUGUGUUGUUGGGUAGGGGAGCGUUC
This 532-nucleotide ribosomal RNA is filed under the name Salmonella enterica. Its description in RNAcentral is "partial 23S ribosomal RNA". It matches the Rfam family "Bacterial large subunit ribosomal RNA", at positions 711 to 1241 of the family's 2925-position model. RNAcentral also lists the same sequence under 4 other names. The record is from RNAcentral. Lineage: Bacteria; Pseudomonadati; Pseudomonadota; Gammaproteobacteria; Enterobacterales; Enterobacteriaceae.